Molecule: unclassified non-coding RNA, 337 nt
Filed under: uncultured Hypocreales
Lineage: Eukaryota; Fungi; Ascomycota; Sordariomycetes; Hypocreales
Description: sequence contains ITS1
Rfam family: 5.8S ribosomal RNA (bases 1-105)
Source: RNAcentral
GAAAUGCGAUAAGUAAUGUGAAUUGCAGAAUUCAGUGAAUCAUCGAAUCUUUGAACGCACAUUGCGCCCGCCAGUACUCUGGCGGGCAUGCCUGUUCGAGCGUCAUUUCAACCCUCAGGCCCCCCCGGGGCGCCUGGUGUUGGGGGACGGCGGUUCGGUUUGGGGGGGCUCGCCCCCUCGCCCACCGCCGCCCCCGAAAUGAAUUGGCGGUCCCGCCGCGGCCUCCUCUGCGUAGUAGCAAAACCUCGCAACAGGAGCGCGGCGCGGCCACUGCCGUAAAACGCACACAACUUUAAGAGUUGACCUCGAAUCAGGUAGGAAUACCCGCUGAACUUAA